Entelurus aequoreus (snake pipefish) is the source of this 1599-nucleotide long non-coding RNA. RefSeq lists it as uncharacterized. The record is from RefSeq and is a predicted model, not a curated record. Lineage: Eukaryota; Metazoa; Chordata; Actinopteri; Syngnathiformes; Syngnathidae. The transcript is spliced from 3 exons.
CUGGUGAGACUGAAAAGUCUGGACAAACAUACGAGUGAAAACUGCAAAAAAUAUGAAACCUUUGUUUAACCCUGCACAACUGGCUUCCAGAGUGUAUAUCCGUGAGUCUACAGGUGGGCAGGCAGGUACAGGACGCAGGAGGUUGUAGGUCAGAAGCCAACAAGCUGUGCUGGAGACGCUCCGCGCUUCUCCCGUCCCGGUCUUCCUUUUUUGCAGGUGCCAGCGCCAGGUGGUGGCUCGGCUCGCACGUCCACUUUCGGUGUCAGCGUGCACGUCGUGAAGUUGACUUCAACAAGACGAGGCGGGUAGGUGUAGUUAUCCAGCAGCCAAACAAACAAACAUACAUGCAGCCUGCAAGAUGGAUGAACCCUGGCCGGUCUGACAUAGGUCAAUGACUUCCCUUCCCAUGUCAACCUGAGAAGUAAACAGCCGGAGCACAGGCGACUAUUUCAUUCUCCGCGUCUGGACCCGUGCACUCUGCUGUGAAGCUGCAGAUCUUUAUCUCUGAGGAAAGAAAGAGCACAAGUACCACCCCCCCCCCCCCCCCCCCCCUCCUCCCGCUCCCGCGCUCUGUCUUCUUACCUUCAUUACGCUUUUUUUUUGUUUGUUUAUGCUUGGGCGCAACCGUGGCUGCUGGUGAUGGUUUGAGGUCAGGCGUGACUAGGCCACACGGGUGACUCUAAAUAAAUACACAAGGACUAGCCAGGAAGGAGCGGCGAGGCUGCGCCCGGCUGCCGAAUCAGCCCUGAUUAAUCAGCCGGCAGAUCCGGGGUGACUUUCUGUGUACACUUCCAAGCAACCGAACCCGUGAUGGAAUCGGGCCGGCGUGGACAUGGAAAUCCAGGCAGUGGAGCAGAUGGAGCGUUGCCACCACGCCGUGCACAAAUGCGAUUGCGAAAGGCGCCGUCUUUGGCAGCCGCUCCCGCCCGUGAUCUCCAGCCGAAGUGACACGAUAGUCCUAUUUUCUUCGACCGCGGCGGAUGAACACACGGGCCUGUUGUGACGUGUGCCGAGCCGGUGGAAAGUGCAGUACUUGACGUGGCUCGGUAUUCGGGUCCGGACCAGACAUUGCCAAAAAGAAAGUCAUGCCUGAUAUGUUGUUGAAAAUGAGUGCUCUUUUGGAUUAUUUUGUGUCCUAUGUGCAAUGAAAUGUGUCAAAUACAGUCAUUCUAUGACUGUAAUGCGAUAUGUUCUAUAUGUUCUAUAUCAGGGGUCACCAACGCGGUGCCCGCGGGCACCAGGUAGCCCGUAAGGACCAGAUGAGUAGCCCGCUGGCCUGAUCUAAAAAUAGCUCAAAUAGCAGCACUUACCAGUGAGCUGCCUCUAUUUUUUAAAUUGUAUUAAUUUAGUAGCAAGCUGGUCUCGCUUUGCUCGACAUUUUAAGCGCUGAAGAGAGACAAAACUCAAAUAGAAUUUGAAAAUCCAAGAAAAUAUUUUAAAGACUUGGUCUUCACUUGUUUAAAUAAAUUCAUACAUUUUUUUACUUUGCUUUUUAUAACUUUCAGAAAGACAAUUUUAGAGAAAAAAUACAACCUUAAAAAUGAUUUUAGGAUUUUUAAACACAUAUACCUUUUUACCUUUUAAAUUCCUUCCUCUUCU